This 466-nucleotide ribosomal RNA is filed under the name Micrococcus luteus. RNAcentral's name for it is "bacterial SSU rRNA". The record is from RNAcentral. Lineage: Bacteria; Bacillati; Actinomycetota; Actinomycetes; Micrococcales; Micrococcaceae.
GGAUGAACGCUGGCGGCGUGCUUAACACAUGCAAGUCGAACGAUGAAGCCCAGCUUGCUGGGUGGAUUAGUGGCGAACGGGUGAGUAACACGUGAGUAACCUGCCCUUAACUCUGGGAUAAGCCUGGGAAACURGGUCUAAUACCGGAUAGGAGCGYCYACCGCAUGGUGGGUGUUGGAAAGAUUUAUCGGUUUUGGAUGGACUCGCGGCCUAUCAGCUUGUUGGUGAGGUAAUGGCUCACCAAGGCGACGACGGGUAGCCGGCCUGAGAGGGUGACCGGCCACACUGGGACUGAGACACGGCCCAGACUCCUACGGGAGGCAGCAGUGGGGAAUAUUGCACAAUGGGCGMAAGCCUGAUGCAGCGACGCCGCGUGAGGGAUGACGGCCUUCGGGUUGUAAACCUCUUUCAGUAGGGAAGAAGCGAAAGUGACGGUACCUGCAGAAGAAGCACCGGCUAACUACGU